GAUGAACGCUGGCGGCGUGCCUAAUACAUGCAAGUCGAGCGAACAGACGAGGAGCUUGCUCCUCUGACGUUAGCGGCGGACGGGUGAGUAACACGUGGAUAACCUACCUAUAAAACUGGGAUAACUUCGGGAAACCGGAGCUAAUACCGGAUAAUAUAUUGAACCGCAUUGUUCAAUAGUGAAAGACGGUUUUGCUGUCACUUAUAGAUGGAUCCGCGCCGCAUUAGCUAGUUGGUAAGGUAACGGCUUACCAAGGCAACGCUGCGUAGCCGACCUGAGAGGGUGCUCGGCCACACUGGACUUGAGCCACGGCCCAGCCUCGUCCGGAGGGCACAAGUAGGGAUUCUUCGGAAGUGGGCGAAGGCGUGCAGAGGCACGGCCGCGUGGGUGAUGAAGGGCUUCGGAUGGUAAACCUCUGUCAUUAGGGCAGAAAAGCUGUGUAAGCACCUCUGCACGUACUGACGGUACCUAAAAAGGAAGCAACGGCUAACUACGUG
This 497-nucleotide ribosomal RNA is filed under the name uncultured bacterium. RNAcentral describes it as "partial 16S ribosomal RNA". It matches the Rfam family "Bacterial small subunit ribosomal RNA", at positions 28 to 507 of the family's 1533-position model. The record is from RNAcentral.